CGGAGACAAUGGACUCAGUCCCAGAUACAGUCACACUGGGCCGAGCCAGCUACCGCUGCAGAAUCUAGUCACGGACCCCCCCCCACACACACACACACUCAUGGAGUUGGUUGGAACUGGGCCGUGAGAAAGGAGCUGAGGGGGAGAGU
RNAcentral lists this long non-coding RNA (149 nucleotides) under Urocitellus parryii (Arctic ground squirrel). RNAcentral's name for it is "T-cell leukemia/lymphoma 6 conserved region 3 (ENSUPAG00010003657.1)". It matches the Rfam family "T-cell leukemia/lymphoma 6 conserved region 3". The record is from RNAcentral. Lineage: Eukaryota; Metazoa; Chordata; Mammalia; Rodentia; Sciuridae.